This 323-nucleotide ribosomal RNA is filed under the name uncultured bacterium. RNAcentral's name for it is "bacterial SSU rRNA". It matches the Rfam family "Bacterial small subunit ribosomal RNA", at positions 28 to 334 of the family's 1533-position model. The record is from RNAcentral.
GACGAACGCUGGCGGCGUGCUUAACACAUGCAAGUCGAACGGAACUCAUUGGAACAAGACUUCGGUCAAGGGAAUUUGAGUUUAGUGGCGGACGGGUGAGUAACGCGUGAGGAACCUGCCUCGGAGUGGGGAAUAACAGUUAGAAAUGACUGCUAAUACCGCAUGAUGCAUUUGGGUCGCAUGAUCCGGAUGCCAAAGAUUUAUCGCUCUGAGAUGGCCUCGCGUCUGAUUAGCUUGUUGGCGGGGUAACGGCCCACCAAGGUGACGAUCAGUAGCCGGUCUGAGAGGAUGAACGGCCACAUUGGAACUGAGACACGGUCCAG